GUCCUAUCGACGUUUUGAAAUGCCAGGGGAAAUAAACCGAAAACUCCAAUGAGACGAAGAGCCACAGAGAGAGAGAAACAAAGCCAAAGGUUUAGAGACAAGAGCGUUAGGAUCGAGCCACGGCCCAUAUUCAAAAAUCUCGGUUCCAACCGUGACACACACGGAGAGAGUGGAGUCGGUCCAUCCCAUGUGGAGAAUGGCUCGUGCCAGCCAACGGAGAAUCCCUGGAGUCCGCGAUAUGCGCAGUUGUUCUUCCCUGAGGAAGACAAAUGAUCCACUCGGACGCGAGACAGUUAGCGUAUCCGCGGGGAGGCUUGAACGUCGUCGACGGUGAAGAAGAGGAUGAAGAGGAAGAAGGAGACGAAAGAGAGGAAGAGGCUUGGUUUCUCUGUCUUCGUUGCUUUCGCGCGUGGAAGAUGAGCGCGCGCGCGCGCCUUCGGGCAGGCGGACUCGUUCGCUUGAUCCCGUGCCAUUACGAUAUUAAUGUAAUGCCGCUAAAAAGGUGUGUUUGCUCGGUUAGGUGGCGAGGGAGAGGGGAGCCGAGGCGAGGAUCGAGCCCACGUAGGAUAGUCUUGCCAGAUAUGGCGUGUGCCUGUGCCGCGGCCACCACCACGGUUAUCGUCGUCGCCACCAUCGCCGUCACCGUCAUCGUCCUCUUUGCUCGUUCUUCGCGGCGACUCUACACCCGGCUGAUCCCUCUGCCGGUUUAAGGAGAACGAUUAGACCAGCCGCGAAACGACACCUGAGUCUUCGAUUCUUUUCUUUCUUUCUUUUUUUUUUUUUCCUUUUGCCUCGCCCAAUUUGGUCCUUGCUCCGUGUGCUUACCAACGCACGCGACUUGUCCAGGGUUUUAUCGAGAACGCGUUUCGUAUCUCCGGAUAUAUAUAUAUCUAUUGUUCUCUCGCUGCAACGGACCUCUCGGAUCGAAAUAAACGCCGCGAAUCUUUCGUUCGUUUAAAAAGUUGUAGGAAACGCCCGAGGGUACACCGGUUAAUGGAGAACUCGGCGUACGGAGCGAGCGGGGGGAAAAAGGCUCUACUCGAGUAAUCGAAGACCGAGAAAUUAUAGUGUCAGAUAUCCGGCGUUGCUCGCCAGUCGUGGAAAUCAUUAUCGUUGGAUUUAUGAUUCUUUAAACGAUCGAUCAGGUGAGAGACGCGUUGGCUCUCGCCAACAGUAUACGUAGUGAAGUACGUCGGGCGUUCUCCGUUUCAGUUUCAUCGUGCACGCCGCACGAUACGACCGCUGAAUUUCCGUCCCGCCUCGGCCGGUGACUGUUCUCUUCCUCCAAGAGUCUUUCGUUCUUUCCUUGUUUCGUUUAGUCACGAGGUCACUCGCGACCUCGUAUCUUUAUUCGGUCAUGGAGCGGCAAUGAGAGCGUCUGCCUGCGCGCGUGAUAUUCACGCCCGUUGAUCUCGAUUACCGGCGACGCCGACGCCGGUCGUCGCUGAAACGCUCCGAGGGGAAGUUGCAACCCUUUUUAGCUAGAGGGUAUACGCACGUCGGCAUAGUCGUUUUGACAUAAUUGCGAAAACUGGACUGACCUGUUUUCGAUACCUCUAUGCUCGCUGGAGGACAUCUUCUGCCGGUUUUAUCUUUCGAGCAUCGCGUGCAAUUCUGCCGCGUUGUAAUGAUAAAACGUGUCGCGUCGCGGAACGACAGAGCAAAGGAAAAGGAUAGAACGAGUGGGAGAGAGAUUAAGAUCGAAUCGUAUCGAACCGUAGUUUCAGCUAGCGCGAAGGACGUCAUUAACUUUUACAGUUGCAGCUACCACUCGCUCGUAAACGCAGCUCGCCUCGUUACUUAGCAGCUCGCUAAGGAUUCCGUGUUUUUCAAUUUUAAUGGCCACAAUUAACGAAUAGGAAUCGUCGCUUUAUGGGAACUUUCGAGAGAUAUCGCCCCAAUUUAUCUCGAUCUUCUAAUUCACAUUGAAUGGAGCUAUUUUUUUGGUCAAUAUUAGAAAUUUGAACGCCACUCGGUCUGUUACGAUCCAGUUAUUUCUAGCUCUAGUGAUCGAAAACCUCGAGGAAGAAAAUAAAUUAUACGUGUGAGAACGGACGGCUCGAUGAUGUCGACCAAGUAGUCAAUCGGUAGCGAAACGUAAAAACGCAGGCUUCGUCGCUCUUCGUGCGAGUAUUGCUUUUUGCGGUUUUCUCCUCCCUCCGUUUGGCCCGAAGACAGAGCAUCGUGCUGCCUUUCAAAUCGUAAUACGCGUGACGUGCUUCUGGCACGCGUCGAAACCUGCACUUAACGAACCACUUGUGCCCCUAAUAUUACGUGCCAGCCAAGCGGAUAUUUAUCCCUACGCGCGUAAAGAUAACGCAUGCCUUCGGCUCGUGCCCAAAUACGCGUGGCUCUUGUUCUCUUAUCUAACGUAGAAACUAUCAACUGGAUAAAAUCUUAUUACACAUAUGUAUUUACGAUAG
Long non-coding RNA from Frieseomelitta varia, 2423 nucleotides. RefSeq lists it as uncharacterized. NCBI's taxonomy places the organism in Eukaryota, Metazoa, Arthropoda, Insecta, Hymenoptera, Apidae. The record is from RefSeq and is a predicted model, not a curated record. The transcript is spliced from 2 exons.